This 468-nucleotide ribosomal RNA is filed under the name uncultured bacterium. Its description in RNAcentral is "partial 16S ribosomal RNA". It matches the Rfam family "Bacterial small subunit ribosomal RNA", at positions 28 to 507 of the family's 1533-position model. The record is from RNAcentral.
GACGAACGCUGGCGGCGUGCUUAACACAUGCAAGUCGAACGGAAAGGCCCUGCUUUUGUGGGGUGCUCGAGUGGCGAACGGGUGAGUAACACGUGAGUAACCUGCCCUUGACUUUGGGAUAACUUCAGGAAACUGGGGCUAAUACCGGAUAGGAGCUCCUGCUGCAUGGUGGGGGUUGGAAAGUUUCGGCGGUUGGGGAUGGACUCGCGGCUUAUCAGCUUGUUGGUGGGGUAGUGGCUUACCAAGGCUUUGACGGGUAGCCGGCCUGAGAGGGUGGCCGGCCACAUUGGGACUAGGAUACGGCCCAGACUCCUACGGGAGGCAGCAGUGGGGAAUAUUGCACAGUGGGCGGAAGCCUGAUGCAGCAACGCCGCGUGCGGGAUGACGGCCUUCGGGUUGUAAACCGCUUUCGCCGGUAACGAAGCGUGAGUGACGGUAAUGGGUAAAGAAGCACCGGCUAACUACGUG